This is a non-coding RNA of Pelobates cultripes (western spadefoot toad), 270 nucleotides long. The record is from the annotation of a GenBank genome assembly. Lineage: Eukaryota; Metazoa; Chordata; Amphibia; Anura; Pelobatidae.
UCCUCUGCCAUCUAGGAGUUAAAUCCCUUUGUUUAUGAACCCUAGUCACACCUCCCUGCAUGUGACUUGCACAGCCUUCAAUAAACACUUCCUGUAAAGAGAGCCCUAUUUAGGCUUUCUUUAUUGCAAGUUCUGUUUAAUUAAGAUUUUCUUAUCCCCUGCUAUGUUAAUAGCUUGCUAGACCCUGCAAGAGCCUCCUGUAUGUGAUUAAAGUUCAAUUUAGAGAUUGAGAUACAAAUAUUUAAGGUAAAUUACAUCUGUUUGAAAGUG